AUUCAACGCUGGCGGCAUGCUUUACACAUGCAAGUCGAACGGUAACAGGCCUUCGGGUGCUGACGAGUGGCGCACGGGUGAGUAAUGCAUCGGAACGUGCCCAGAGGUGGGGGAUAACGCAGCGAAAGCUGUGCUAAUACCGCAUGUGAUCUGAGGAUGAAAGCGGGGGACCAAGCAGCAAUGUUUGGCCUCGCGCCUCUGGAGCGGCCGAUGUCAGAUUAGGUAGUUGGUGGGGUAAAGGCCUACCAAGCCGACGAUCUGUAGCUGGUCUGAGAGGACGACCAGCCACACUGGGACUGAGACACGGCCCAGACUCCUACGGGAGGCAGCAGUGGGGAAUUUUGGACAAUGGGCGCAAGCCUGAUCCAGCAAUGCCGCGUGCGGGAAGAAGGCCUUCGGGUUGUAAACCGCUUUUGUACGGAACGAAAAGGCUCUGGCUAAUACCUGGGGCUGAUGACGGUACCGUAAGAAUAAGCACCGGCUAACUACGUG
RNAcentral lists this ribosomal RNA (492 nucleotides) under uncultured bacterium. RNAcentral's name for it is "partial 16S ribosomal RNA". It matches the Rfam family "Bacterial small subunit ribosomal RNA", at positions 32 to 507 of the family's 1533-position model. The record is from RNAcentral.